This 434-nucleotide ribosomal RNA is filed under the name uncultured bacterium. RNAcentral's name for it is "partial 16S ribosomal RNA". It matches the Rfam family "Bacterial small subunit ribosomal RNA", at positions 29 to 507 of the family's 1533-position model. The record is from RNAcentral.
AGCGAACGCUGGCGGCAGGCCUAACACAUGCAAGUCGAACGAACCUUUCGGGGUUAGUGGCGGACGGGUGAGUAACACGUGGGAACGUGCCUUUAGGUUCGGAAUAACUCAGGGAAACUUGUGCUAAUACCGAAUGUGCCCUUCGGGGGAAAGAUUUAUCGCCUUUAGAGCGGCCCGCGUCUGAUUAGCUAGUUGGUUGAGGUAAUGGCUCACCAAGGCGACGAUCAGUAGCUGGUCUGAGAGGAUGAUCAGCCACAUUGGGACUGAGACACGGCCCAAACUCCUACGGGAGGCAGCAGUGUGGAGUCUUGCGCAAUGGGCGAAAGCCUGACGCAGCCAUGCCGCGUGAAUGAUGAAGGUCUUAGGAUUGUAAAAUUCUUUCACCGGGGACGAUAAUGACGGUACCCGGAGAAGAAGCCCCGGCUAACUUCGUG